This is a non-coding RNA of Gloeopeniophorella convolvens, 104 nucleotides long. Lineage: Eukaryota; Fungi; Basidiomycota; Agaricomycetes; Russulales. The record is from the annotation of a GenBank genome assembly.
UCCCGUUUAGCUCAGCUGGUAGAGCGCGUCACUAGCAUAUGACCUGCAUUGGGCUGUCGGCGUAUCACAUGACGAGGUCAGUCAUCCAAGUCGGCUAAUGGGAA